This 253-nucleotide ribosomal RNA is filed under the name uncultured bacterium. Its description in RNAcentral is "partial 16S ribosomal RNA". It matches the Rfam family "Bacterial small subunit ribosomal RNA", at positions 524 to 776 of the family's 1533-position model. The record is from RNAcentral.
UACGUAGGGGGCGAGCGUUGUCCGGAGUUAUUGGGCGUAAAGGGUGCGUAGGCGGCUUUCUAAGUUGGAUGUGAAAACUCUGGGCUCAACCCAGAGACUGCAUCCAAAACUGGAGGGCUUGGGUUCUGGAGGGGAAAGCGGAAUUCCUGGUGUAGCGGUGAAAUGCGUAGAUAUCAGGAGGAACACCGGUGGCGAAGGCGGCUUUCUGGACAGAUACCGACGCUGAGGCACGAAAGCUAGGGGAGCAAACAGG